Molecule: non-coding RNA, 293 nt
Organism: Pogona vitticeps (central bearded dragon)
Lineage: Eukaryota; Metazoa; Chordata; Lepidosauria; Squamata; Agamidae
Source: RefSeq, a predicted model, not a curated record
GAUCUGCACGUGUUUCGAAUGUAAGUCUGUCUGAGAACCAAAAUUUAUGUAAGAGGUCAUGUAUUUGACCAAUCUGUGCUGCUCCAUUACUACCAGAAGAACAACUGCAGCUACGAUCCUCAUCCUCCCAUUUAUUCUUUUCCCAUGAGAUCUAGACAUUUGAAAGGUAGAGGAAGAAAUAAGAGGAUGUGUAAGCAGAGCAGAGAUUAGAAAAUCACUAGGUGGCACUGUUGUUUUGCAAAAAAGUGCCAUAGAACAUCAAUGAUACAACCUGGAGAAAUAUGUGAUUUUUA